CAAGACCUUGCGCUGAAGGAGCGGCCGAUGUCUGAUUAGCUAGUUGGUGGGGUAAAGGCUUACCAAGGCAACGAUCAGUAGCUGGUCUGAGAGGACGACCAGCCACACUGGGACUGAGACACGGCCCAGACUCCUACGGGAGGCAGCAGUGGGGAAUUUUGGACAAUGGGCGAAAGCCUGAUCCAGCCAUGCCGCGUGAGUGAAGAAGGCCUUCGGGUUGUAAAGCUCUUUUAGUCGGAAAGAAAGAAUCGCAAUGAAUAGUUGCGAUUUAUGACGGUACCGACAGAAAAAGCACCGGCUAACUACGUGCCAGCAGCCGCGGUAAUACGUAGGGUGCGAGCGUUAAUCGGAAUUACUGGGCGUAAAGGGUGCGCAGGCGGUUUUGCAAGUCGGAUGUGAAAGCCCCGGGCUUAACCUGGGAAUU
This 424-nucleotide ribosomal RNA is filed under the name uncultured Nitrosomonas sp. RNAcentral's name for it is "bacterial SSU rRNA". It matches the Rfam family "Bacterial small subunit ribosomal RNA", at positions 207 to 622 of the family's 1533-position model. Lineage: Bacteria; Pseudomonadati; Pseudomonadota; Betaproteobacteria; Nitrosomonadales; Nitrosomonadaceae. The record is from RNAcentral.